RNAcentral lists this ribosomal RNA (340 nucleotides) under uncultured Lactococcus sp. RNAcentral's name for it is "bacterial SSU rRNA". It matches the Rfam family "Bacterial small subunit ribosomal RNA", at positions 349 to 681 of the family's 1533-position model. The record is from RNAcentral. Lineage: Bacteria; Bacillati; Bacillota; Bacilli; Lactobacillales; Streptococcaceae.
UAGCAGUAGGGAAUCUUCGGCAAUGGACGAAAGUCUGACCGAGCAACGCCGCGUGAGUGAAGAAGGUUUUCGGAUCGUAAAACUCUGUUGGUAGAGAAGAACGUUGGUGAGAGUGGAAAGCUCAUCAAGUGACGGUAACUACCCAGAAAGGGACGGCUAACUACGUGCCAGCAGCCGCGGUAAUACGUAGGUCCCGAGCGUUGUCCGGAUUUAUUGGGCGUAAAGCGAGCGCAGGUGGUUUAUUAAGUCUGGUGUAAAAGGCAGUGGCUCAACCAUUGUAUGCAUUGGAAACUGGUAGACUUGAGUGCAGGAGAGGAGAGUGGAAUUCCAUGUGUAGCGG